RNAcentral lists this long non-coding RNA (901 nucleotides) under Mus musculus (house mouse). Its description in RNAcentral is "H2". The record is from RNAcentral. Lineage: Eukaryota; Metazoa; Chordata; Mammalia; Rodentia; Muridae.
AAACAUUCAGAGACUGAAGCGCCGACUGAAAGAAAUCUAUGGCAAGAAAAUAUGAGUGAAGUCACAAAUGUCACCAAGGAAAGGAAGAACAGAAAAAUAACUUGAAUAUUCAAGAUGGGCAGCCUAGUUCAACGACACAUCAAGCCUUGUGAAAAGGUGACUCCGAGAUUCAGAUGCUGCCCAAGCCAACCCGAGUUUACCAGGUUCCAGGAAUGACCUUGAAUUCCAGAUCCUUCUGCCCCCAUCAUCUGAGUGCUGGGUUACGGUUGGGUGGCUAUACCUGCCUCUCACCUGGGUCUUUGAAACAAAAGAGGGAAGAAAGAAAGAAGGAAAGAAAGAAAGAAAGAAAGAAAGAAAGAAAGAAAGAAAGAAAGAAGAAAAGAAAGAAAGAAGAAAGAAAGAAAGAAAGAAAGAAGAAAGAAAGAAAGAAAGAAGAAAGAAAGAAAGAAGAAAGAAGAAAGAAAGAAAGAAAGAAGAAAGAAAGAAAGAAAGAAAGAAAGAAAGAAGAAAAAAGGAAAGGAGAGAGAGAGAGAUUGAGAAUAUGAGAUCUUCAUUAACCAUAAAAGUCAGGGAUCGGGUAAAGCCUUGCAGCAUAAAUAACAUAAAUUCAAAAUAGUUGACAUUUCAUUCAGUCCACAAAAGAGCCUUGGCUGAACACUGAUAAUUUUACAUUUGAAUUUCUCAGGCGUAUCCAUUUCUAAGUACAGAGGUGAUCUGUGGUGUGGGCUGACAAGUUAUUCCGAUCUAUCUUCAGUGGGAAAACCAAGGUUUCACACCAAAAUGACAGCAUAAAGUCCCACACGUGUGGCUUCUAAGCUUAAAAAGCCUAAGAUGAAACUUCCCCUGAUCCUAUCAUCAAAAUAAACACUUACUAUAUUACCAAAUAUUACACAACUAAGAU